This 73-nucleotide transfer RNA is filed under the name Zea mays. It matches the Rfam family "tRNA". Rfam says of the family: Transfer RNA (tRNA) molecules are approximately 80 nucleotides in length. The record is from Rfam by way of RNAcentral. Lineage: Eukaryota; Viridiplantae; Streptophyta; Magnoliopsida; Poales; Poaceae.
CCAUGUCUAGCUCAAUUGGUAGAGCACAAGGCUCUAAACCUUGUGGUCAUGAGUUCCAAUUUUAUUGUGUGGG